RNAcentral lists this transfer RNA (85 nucleotides) under Seculamonas ecuadoriensis. RNAcentral's name for it is "tRNA-Ser". It matches the Rfam family "tRNA". Rfam says of the family: Transfer RNA (tRNA) molecules are approximately 80 nucleotides in length. Their secondary structure includes four short double-helical elements and three loops (D, anti-codon, and T loops). The record is from RNAcentral. Lineage: Eukaryota; Jakobea; Jakobida; Moramonadidae.
GGAUGAGUGACCGAGUGGUUUAAGGUGUUAGUCUUGAAAACUAAAGUGUUUAACGACACCGUGGGUUCGAAUCCCACCUCAUCCU